This 497-nucleotide ribosomal RNA is filed under the name uncultured bacterium. RNAcentral describes it as "partial 16S ribosomal RNA". It matches the Rfam family "Bacterial small subunit ribosomal RNA", at positions 28 to 507 of the family's 1533-position model. The record is from RNAcentral.
GAUGAACGCUGGCGGCGUGCCUAAUACAUGCAAGUCGAGCGAACAGACGAGGAGCUUGCUCCUCUGACGUUAGCGGCGGACGGGUGAGUAACACGUGGAUAACCUACCUAUAAGACUGGGAUAACUUCGGGAAACCGGAGCUAAUACCGGAUAAUAUAUUGAACCGCAUGGUUCAAUAGUGAAAGACGGUUUUGCUGUCACUUAUAGAUGGAUCCGCGCCGCAUUAGCUAGUUGGUAAGGUAACGGCUUACCAAGGCGACGAUGCGUAGCCGACCUGAGAGGGUGAUCGGCAACACUGGAACUGAGACACGGUCCAGACUCCUACGGGAGGCAGCAGUAGGGAAUCUUCCGCAAUGGGCGAAAGCCUGACGGAGCAACGCCGCGUGAGUGAUGAAGGUCUUCGGAUCGUAAAACUCUGUUAUUAGGGAAGAACAAAUGUGUAAGUAACUAUGCACGUCUUGACGGUACCUAAUCAGAAAGCCACGGAUAACUACGUG